GAUAAAGCGAAGAAGAGAAAUAGUAGAUAGUAAAGUCUUUUCAGAGAGAUUUCGGUUGGUGUGAGAAAUCAAGAACUAAUUAUCGAACACAUCUCAGAGCAUAGCACCGAGAAAGAAAGUUCAUGUAGGCUGCUACGGUAGUACCCGUUAUCGUACAAGGGUAUCGUCUUUUAAUAAGACUGUACUCUAUGAGGCUAGUAUCGUGAGGUACUAGUGAAGAGAGGUGGAACCACGGAAUUAAUACUCCCGUCCUCUAG
RNAcentral lists this non-coding RNA (257 nucleotides) under Peptacetobacter hiranonis. RNAcentral's name for it is "Clostridium hiranonis T-box sequence". It matches the Rfam family "T-box leader". From Rfam's summary of the family: Uncharged tRNA acts as the effector for transcription antitermination of genes in the T-box leader family. T-boxes are found upstream of many aminoacyl-tRNA synthetase genes and some amino acid biosynthetic genes usually in Gram-positive bacteria. Lineage: Bacteria; Bacillati; Bacillota; Clostridia; Peptostreptococcales; Peptostreptococcaceae. The record is from RNAcentral.